RNAcentral lists this ribosomal RNA (378 nucleotides) under uncultured eukaryote. RNAcentral's name for it is "partial 18S ribosomal RNA". It matches the Rfam family "Eukaryotic small subunit ribosomal RNA", at positions 592 to 976 of the family's 1831-position model. The record is from RNAcentral.
CAAUAGCGUAUAUUUAAGUUGUUGCAGUUAAAAAGCUCGUAGUUGGAUUUCGGGUGGGACGCAGCGGUCUCGCAUUGCGUUUGUACUGCUGCAGCCCUCCUUCUUGCCGGGGGCGGCCUCUCGGACUUCACUGUCUGGGGGUCAGAAUCGGCGAUGUUACUUUGAGUAAAUUAGAGUGUUCAAAGCAAGCUUACGCUCUGAAUAUAAUAGCACGGGAUAACACGACAGGACUCUGGCCUAUCGUGUUGGUCUAUAGGACCAGAGUAAUGAUUAAGAGGGACAGUCGGGGGCAUUCGUAUUCCGUUGUCAGAGGUGAAAUUCUUGGAUUUACGGAAGACGAACAUCUGCGAAAGCAUUUGCCAAGGAUGUUUUCAUUGA